This 465-nucleotide ribosomal RNA is filed under the name Vreelandella stevensii. Its description in RNAcentral is "partial 16S ribosomal RNA". It matches the Rfam family "Bacterial small subunit ribosomal RNA", at positions 338 to 795 of the family's 1533-position model. The record is from RNAcentral. Lineage: Bacteria; Pseudomonadati; Pseudomonadota; Gammaproteobacteria; Oceanospirillales; Halomonadaceae.
CCUACGGGGGGCAGCAGUGGGGAAUAUUGGACAAUGGGGGCAACCCUGAUCCAGCCAUGCCGCGUGUGUGAAGAAGGCCCUCGGGUUGUAAAGCACUUUCAGUGAGGAAGAACGCCUGGUGGUUAAUACCCAUCAGGAAAGACAUCACUCACAGAAGAAGCACCGGCUAACUCCGUGCCAGCAGCCGCGGUAAUACGGAGGGUGCGAGCGUUAAUCGGAAUUACUGGGCGUAAAGCGCGCGUAGGUGGCUUGAUAAGCCGGUUGUGAAAGCCCCGGGCUCAACCUGGGAACGGCAUCCGGAACUGUCAAGCUAGAGUGCAGGAGAGGAAGGUAGAAUUCCAGGUGUAGCGGUGAAAUGCGUAGAGAUCGGGAGGAAUACCAGUGGCGAAGGCGGCCUUCUGGACUGACACUGACACUGAGGUGCGAAAGCGUGGGUAGCAAACAGGAUUAGAUACCCCAGUAGUC